AACAGCUAGAAGACAAGACAGUGUGAUGUUUUAGAACUUGCUGAAAUAAUAAGUAGUAAGAAGUUGCUUACAACAGCCAAUCUGUCUAUAAGCAUCAAGUUGGCACACCAUGGUGAAUCCUCAUUAAGUCUUUUCAUUUCAUUUCUGGAAAAGAACAUCUGGAGUUGAAUUCUGCUGUUUGUUCUCUCCUGUUCUUAUCAAGGAGAGUUACAUCUACAUGGUUAUGCUAAUGAAAUCCAGAAAAUUCAAAAGUCAGUUGCCAUAUGUAGGCAAAUGUAGGAUUCUAAGGAUAUCAGCAAUGACAAACAGCAAGGACAGGUGGAGAAUCUAUGUGCUUAAAUCUUGGCAUGUUUAUAAACACAGGAAAUAGAAAACAGGUCACAUUUCUCUACUGGUGGAAUAAAACAGAGAAAUUAAAUAGCAUUUUUACAAAUUGUAAGAAGACCAGCUUACAAAGGUAAGGAGAUGUUUUAUGCUUCUGUGAGUAGCUUACAAGUUAGUGUUUCUAAGAGCCACAUGGUUUCCUUUCUGGGAUUCUCAGUGAGUACAGCAUAGACCCAUAUGUCGGAUUAUUCAUAACUGUUCCCAGCAUGCUGUAUGUUCAGUUGCCUCCUGUAAUUUCCCAAAACUAAACCAUCAGGAGAAUUCUCUUGCAGAACUUAGAGAGAAGAGAUGACAUACUAUCUCAAGAUGCUUAGACUAUGUUUUGUAAAUUUUACAAGCAAACAAGACAGUGAACCAAACAAGACUUUUCAAUUCCUUUCAAACACUGAAAGAGUACACACAUACAAGAAAUUAUUUGAUGUAAAGGUAACAUAAAAUCAAACACUUUUCUCUAAAGUUGUAUUGAGAAGAGAAAUGGUUGUAAUGCUUAUAAAAGAUUAAAUUAUAAAGUGAACCAGACAAUACAAAUAUUUUGCCCAUUU
Molecule: long non-coding RNA, 926 nt
Organism: Erinaceus europaeus (western European hedgehog)
Lineage: Eukaryota; Metazoa; Chordata; Mammalia; Eulipotyphla; Erinaceidae
Exons: 3
Source: RefSeq, a predicted model, not a curated record